RNAcentral lists this ribosomal RNA (304 nucleotides) under uncultured bacterium. RNAcentral describes it as "bacterial SSU rRNA". It matches the Rfam family "Bacterial small subunit ribosomal RNA", at positions 28 to 334 of the family's 1533-position model. The record is from RNAcentral.
GACGAACGCUGGCGGCGUGCCUAACACAUGCAAGUCGAACGGGGUGUUCCUUCGGGGACACUUAGUGGCGAACGGGUGAGUAACGCGUGAGGAACCUGCCUCUCAGUGGGGGACAACAGUUGGAAACGACUGCUAAUACCGCAUAACAUUUCUGGACCGCAUGAUCUGGAAAUCAAAGCUCUAUGUGCUGAGAGAUGGCCUCGCGUCUGAUUAGCUAGUUGGCGGGGUAACGGCCCACCAAGGCGACGAUCAGUAGCCGGUCUGAGAGGAUGAACGGCCACAUUGGGACUGAGAUACGGCCCAG